This 716-nucleotide ribosomal RNA is filed under the name Oerskovia sp. YIM 69644. RNAcentral's name for it is "bacterial SSU rRNA". It matches the Rfam family "Bacterial small subunit ribosomal RNA", at positions 56 to 784 of the family's 1533-position model. The record is from RNAcentral. Lineage: Bacteria; Bacillati; Actinomycetota; Actinomycetes; Micrococcales; Cellulomonadaceae.
UGCAAGUCGAACGGUGAUGCCCAGCUUGCUGGGUGGAUCAGUGGCGAACGGGUGAGUAACACGUGAGUAACCUGCCCCAGACUCCGGGAUAAGCCUUGGAAACGAGGUCUAAUACUGGAUACGAGAUGCCCCUGCAUGGGGAGUGUCUGGAAAGAUUUAUCGGUCUGGGAUGGACUCGCGGCCUAUCAGCUUGUUGGUGGGGUAAUGGCCUACCAAGGCGACGACGGGUAGCCGGCCUGAGAGGGCGACCGGCCACACUGGGACUGAGACACGGCCCAGACUCCUACGGGAGGCAGCAGUGGGGAAUAUUGCACAAUGGGCGAAAGCCUGAUGCAGCGACGCCGCGUGAGGGAUGAAGGCCUUCGGGUUGUAAACCUCUUUCAGCAGGGAAGAAGCGCAAGUGACGGUACCUGCAGAAGAAGCGCCGGCUAACUACGUGCCAGCAGCCGCGGUAAUACGUAGGGCGCAAGCGUUGUCCGGAAUUAUUGGGCGUAAAGAGCUCGUAGGCGGUUUGUCGCGUCUGGUGUGAAAACUCAAGGCUCAACCUUGAGCUUGCAUCGGGUACGGGCAGACUAGAGUGCGGUAGGGGUGACUGGAAUUCCUGGUGUAGCGGUGGAAUGCGCAGAUAUCAGGAGGAACACCGAUGGCGAAGGCAGGUCACUGGGCCGCAACUGACGCUGAGGAGCGAAAGCAUGGGGAGCGAACAGGAUUAGAUA